GGCAUUUAUGCCGCCACUUUUAAACUAGGUCGUCUGGUGGGGUGGUAUACUGCUAUUGCAGUAAUAUAUUGCUAUUGCGAUAGUAUCUGCUCUGCCGGACAACACCAGCGCGUAUGUGUGUGGCAGUCGACGUUAACAAAUAUACAACUUUUAACAAUGGAUCUCUUGGCUCUUGCAACGAUGAAGAACGCAGUAAAGUGCGAUAUGAAGUGCGAUUUGCAUGAAUCUGUGAGUCAUCAUAUCUUUGAACGCAACUUGCGCCCGGCAACGGGCAUGUCUGUUUGAGUGGCGAACAACGAUGGAUCUCUGUUAAUGACAGGGCGAUCUGAUGUGCCGGCAUUCGAUGCGGGUGAAACAGCGCAUGGGUCGGCGCGACGGCAGCCUGGGCCAGAGAGCAAUGCUCUUUCAGAAUGCCCGUCGCCAAGACCGGAUAUCACACACUGCCCUCAAAUCAGACAAGACUACCCGCUGAACUUAAGCAUAUCAAUAA
RNAcentral lists this ribosomal RNA (490 nucleotides) under uncultured fungus. RNAcentral's name for it is "eukaryotic LSU rRNA". The stretch from base 146 to 291 matches the Rfam family "5.8S ribosomal RNA". Lineage: Eukaryota; Fungi. The record is from RNAcentral.